RNAcentral lists this ribosomal RNA (614 nucleotides) under Tricharia longispora. RNAcentral's name for it is "partial large subunit ribosomal RNA". It matches the Rfam family "Eukaryotic large subunit ribosomal RNA", at positions 35 to 657 of the family's 3401-position model. The record is from RNAcentral. Lineage: Eukaryota; Fungi; Ascomycota; Lecanoromycetes; Ostropales; Graphidaceae.
UAAGCAUAUCAAUAAGCGGAGGAAAAGAAACCAACAGGGAUUGCCUUAGUAACGGCGAGUGAAGCGGCAAAAGCUCAGAUUUGAAAUCUCUUUAAAAUUAAUUAAAGCGAAUUGUAAUCUGUAGAAGGGUGAAUGACUGAAGCUCUGGUUUAAAUUUUCUGGAAUGAAAUAUCAUAGAGGGUGAGAAUCCCGUGAGCACCAGCAUUUAAUGUCAAUUAAUUCCCCUUUCGACGAGUCGAUUAGUUUGAGAAUGCUGAUCUAAAUGGGUGGUAAAUUUCAUCUAAAGCUAAAUAUCUGCCAGAGACCGAUAGCGAACAAGUAGAGUGAUCGAAAGAUGAAAAGCACUUUGAAAAGAGAGUUAAAAAGUACGUGAAAUUGUUGAAAGGGAAGCGCUUGCAAUUAGACUUGAUAAUUUAAUUCGAUCAAUCCAUGGAUUCGAUUUAUUUUUUUAUUAUCAGGCCAGCAUCAGUUUAAUAAAAUUAAUAAAAAUAAUCGGAAUGUAGUAAUUAAUUUAUUAAUUAUGUUAUAGCCUUUUAUAUCAUUAAUUUAUAUUAGACUGAGGUCUGCUCUUUUGAAAGGAUGCUGGCAUAAUGAUUGUAAGCGACCCGUCUUGA